This 253-nucleotide ribosomal RNA is filed under the name uncultured prokaryote. RNAcentral's name for it is "partial 16S ribosomal RNA". It matches the Rfam family "Bacterial small subunit ribosomal RNA", at positions 524 to 776 of the family's 1533-position model. The record is from RNAcentral.
UACAGAGGUGUCAAACGUUGUCCGGAAUUAUUGGGCGUAAAGGGCUCGUAGGCGGUUAGUCGCGUCGGGAGUGAAAACUCAGGGCUCAACCCUGAGCGUGCUUCCGAUACGGGCUGACUAGAGGUAUGCAGGGGAGAACGGAAUUCCUGGUGUAGCGGUGGAAUGCGCAGAUAUCAGGAGGAACACCGGUGGCGAAGGCGGUUCUCUGGGCAUUACCUGACGCUGAGGAGCGAAAGCAUGGGGAGCGAACAGG